GUGUCUGUCUGUCUUAAAGCUGUAACGUACAUAAGAAUGCUUGACUAUGAGUCCCAGAACUUCCGGCAGCCGGACAGGCGGAACAUCGCGGCUAGGGGGGAAGAAGUCAAUGCUUUUUCUGUACCUGACUUCCACUCCCCCCCCCGAUUUUUUGCAUUGGAACUGCCCUAACAGUCGUUCCCCAUUAGCCCUUCUCCUUUCGUGGAAGAAAUAGCGGUGAAUCCUUUUUUGAAAGACAAAAUCAAAACCUGAUUUGGGAUGUGCGUAUGUGAUAUUAUGCACUCGCACACACGCGGACCAACAACCACUAACAUCUUGAAAACAAAGUGAGGUGUGAGUGGAAAGAGAUUGUUAAAUUUUAAUCCCUGAUGAUAACAAAUGCUGGAUAAGACUACAGUCUCUUUGAGUCUGCCCCAAAUUGGGACUCACUUCUAUGUCGACACAUGUAAAACGGCACAUCGUUUUAUGCUGUCCUUCCAAGAUUUGUUGCUGGCCUUUCUUAAAUUCCUUGUCCUGAAAGCCAUUUUUAGUCACCAUUUGCAUUUUUUCCCUACAAUGAUAGAGAAUUAAGACUCUUAGUUUUCUUAAUAAUCCACUCUUGCAUCUUCUUGCAGUAUGGGGACAACGUUACAAGGGGAUGAACUGAAAAUACAACUGUAGCAAUACUGGGCUUGACAGGAGAACGAACUAUACUAUGUGGUUGCUCUCCAUCAGCCUGUAGAAUUAUAUAUACAUCUGCCUCCUUGGAAGAUAGACAUAAUUUUGCAUACAUUUCACUGUUAUAUCAUUCAGUUUUAAGCACAUUUUAAUCACAGGUAGUUCCUGCUAUGUGUACUUGUUCCACCACAAGUUGGACAGCUUUUAACAUUUUCAUCCAUCAAAGUUCACAGGGUGCCUAUAGGCUAGUCUCUUAGUUCAUUCUACCCUGCAGUUAAGAGCCUUCACCAGGGUAACACAAGUCAAAAAAGGGCAGCAUUUUGAUUGCAUUGUCAUGUCCACCUCCUUGACUUUUAUUAUUUUGUGUCAUGGAUGCCCUUGCUGACAAGGAAGUUGUGGAGAAAAAUUGAAGGAGACAAUGGUUAGAUAGCCUGCCAUAAGCUCCUAAAGAAAAGGUGAGGUUUAUGUUUAGUAAAUGCAUAAAAAUUGACAUUAUUAUAAAGUUAAGGUUAGCAGAAAAAAUUGCAUUAAUCAAGGAUCAUCCUGAGCAAGAUAGAAGUUGAAAGAAAGAAUAUAUCAUCUGUUUGACAUCGUAAAUGGAAGUUUUGUGACAUAGCCAUCAUUGCAACCACUCUGGAACAGUCCCUGCAAGUGCAACAUGUUUUCAAAUUUCUAGAUGUAACUUCCACUCCCAAAAUGUUGUCUCCACCAGCUGAAAUCCUGAACAGGAAAUUCAUUCUGCAGAAAUGAACCAAGUAAGGAUUUAAAACAAUGUCUAGCAGCUGUGAGGCUAGAGAUUUAUCCUGGUUGCUCUCAGACUAUUAGUUGACUGUACAUAGGUCCUAGUGCCUUUUCACUUUUCUCUGCUUAUUUUUUUUAAAUGAAAUAAUUAUCAAACUAUCAUCUUAGCUUCCACAUUUCUUUCAAUUAUACGGUGUAAUGUUAGUUGUGGUUUUAUGUUACCACUUUAUUCUACUGCACCAAAAGGAAUAGGACUUCCGUCAAUGCUUUUCUUUUUCUUUUUUCCUUUACCCUACACUUUUCCUCCCUAAUUUUCCCAUUAUAUUCAUUUUUCUUUGUAUCUAUGGAGAUUCUCAAUCAUCCAGGUCACGGUUGUCCUAACGGUGUUUUUUCAAGAGGCAGCUGCACUUUCGUGUUUUCCUUUGAAGAUGUUUUGCUUCUCAUGCAAGAAGCUUCUUCAGCUGAUAGAGUAUUUUAUUUUUGGUAAAACUAUUAAAAUACUAAAAAUAAU
Ahaetulla prasina is the source of this 1909-nucleotide long non-coding RNA. RefSeq lists it as uncharacterized. Lineage: Eukaryota; Metazoa; Chordata; Lepidosauria; Squamata; Colubridae. The transcript is spliced from 2 exons. The record is from RefSeq and is a predicted model, not a curated record.